AACUGGACUUUCACUUUCACCAGCAACCAGAAUAGCAGCAGGGAAGGCUGCCCCUGAGUCACAGGCCACCUGCAGAGAAGAGUGGGGGCCAAGCCAGAGGCCCCAGAGGUGACUCUUGGAAGAGUCUCAAAGGGAAGAAGAAGAGGGGAGCCUCGGCCUCAGGCACCUGCUGCCCAGGAAUGCACCACCCCACACAUGCCAGAAUCCACCCUUGCAACAGCUGCAGGCCCCGAGGUCUCGAAGCUCCAGGACCUGUCAGGCCCUGUCACCCUGCAUGGAGAUUGCUCACAACAGCAGGAAAGAGGAUGUUUGGACACCUUAAGAGCCCUCUUGAAAUUCCAGGGUUCAGAAUUGUAGGCUGAGCUGGGUGCUCAUUGCUUCAAGUUCACUCAACCCAGGAGAAAGUCAGCUUCCUGUUUACAGGGCUCGGUAGGGGGCUGAAUCCUGCGGAAAUUUUGAAGACAUAUUUUGGAUAAUUCAGUCCGUCUAAAGACUACAAGGUUUUUGAUUUUGAUUAAAAGCCGCAACAGAGCUAUCAUUGUGUGCAGAAGGCUGCUCCCCAUUGUCCUGAAUUCCAAGAAGGCCCUGGGGGCACAAUCCAAAAUAUCACAAUGGCUUCCAGGAAAUUCCCUGCCAGCUUCGGCAUCAGGAGAGAGAAAGCUGCCGCACUUUCUGGGGCAAAGGCGACGCUGCUCCAGGCAGUGCUGUGGGUCUUUGCUGGAGCCUCCCUCCCUGGGGCCUCACCCUUCUUGCGGCCUGCAGGCGGCCUGGGACGUCCUGACUGCUUCCCACGCUCCCUUCCAGCAAGCCCUCUGCACUCCGGGAGAGAUUUAUGCCACAUUUUGUUAGGCAAGCCUUGGAAACUAGCAUCGCAUGCCCAGAUUCCUGUGCUGCGGGCCUACUAUGUGCCGGAGAGGCUUGGUCAAAUAAAACAUGUGGUGGAUUUAAGCGCGGGAGGGAGACCCACUCAGAGACUUGAUGGAAAAGCUGAGUGUGCUGUGUGCCACUCUCCCCUCUGCAUCAUCCUUGCUUUGUCCAAGUGUUUACAGAAAUGCGUGUGCACUUCCCGGAGUUGCUAUAAUAAAUAGCACACCACGUACCUGGGUGGCUUCAAACAUC
Long non-coding RNA from Cavia porcellus (domestic guinea pig), 1119 nucleotides. RefSeq lists it as uncharacterized. NCBI's taxonomy places the organism in Eukaryota, Metazoa, Chordata, Mammalia, Rodentia, Caviidae. The transcript is spliced from 3 exons. The record is from RefSeq and is a predicted model, not a curated record.